This 449-nucleotide ribosomal RNA is filed under the name uncultured bacterium. RNAcentral's name for it is "bacterial SSU rRNA". It matches the Rfam family "Bacterial small subunit ribosomal RNA", at positions 329 to 794 of the family's 1533-position model. The record is from RNAcentral.
UUCCAGACUCCUACGGGAGGCAGCAGUGGGGGAUAUUGCACAAUGGGGGGAACCCUGAUGCAGCGACGCCGCGUGGGUGAAGGAGUGCUUCGGCAUGUAAAGCCCUAUCGGCAGGGAAGAAGCAAGACGGUACCUGACUAAGAAGCCCCGGCUAACUACGUGCCAGCAGCCGCGGGAAUACGUAGGGGGCGAGCGUUAUCCGGAUUCACUGGGUGUAAAGGGAGCGUAGACGGCCAUGCAAGCCAGGGGUGAAAGCCCGGGGCCCAACCCCGGGACUGCCCUUGGAACUGCAUGGCUGGAGUGCGGGAGGGGCAGGCGGAAUUCCUGGUGUAGCUGUGAAAUGCGUAGAUAUUAGGAGGAACACCAGUGGCGAAGGCGGCCUGCUGGACGGUGACUGACGCUGAGGCUCGAAAGCGUGGGGAGCAAACAGGAUUAGAUACCCUGGUAGA